GGAAUUCACAAACCGCGAGAUCACGACCUGAGCUGAAGUCGGUUGCUUAACCGACUGAGCCGCCCAGACAUCCCAGAAAUAGGUUUCUUCUAAAUGGCGGUAAACGUUUAUCGGAAUCCUUGCUGCAAGGGAUGCAGAUGGCUAGUGUUCGAGACCUUAAUCUGUGGCGCAGGAGGAAAGGCAGUUACUGGGUUGAAUAACAAGUACCCAAAACGUCUUUGGCGUAUAGACAACGGCAUCCACACUACGUGUACUCGCCUGUACACGAAGAGCUGUGCAUUUAUGUGCGUAGAAGUGAGGAGAUUCAACACGUGGACUUAGAGGAGUGUGUUUGGCUGCUUCCCAAUGAAGUGUGAAGUGUUCUAAGAGACAACACAGGACAAUUUCCUCUGAUGGCGAAGUUUUCCAAAGAGUGAUUGCUUCACUCUUUCUGGGCUUUUGCUGCUCUGACUUCGGAGUGAUAUUGAACGGACGCGGAGCUCUAGGUCUGGCAUCUUUGAAGAAACUGUAGAGGUUGGGAGGCAUGUUGGCUCAACCUUGUCUUCAGUUUAAAGCAUUAAUCCUGUCCUUCUUUUUAAAAAAUGGUCGCAUAAUAACAUAUGAACAAAUAGUAAAUAGCUGCCAUUGAUCAAGCACUUACCCUGUG
Molecule: long non-coding RNA, 646 nt
Organism: Leopardus geoffroyi (Geoffroy's cat)
Lineage: Eukaryota; Metazoa; Chordata; Mammalia; Carnivora; Felidae
Exons: 2
Source: RefSeq, a predicted model, not a curated record